UACGUAGGGGGCUAGCGUUGUCCGGAAUCAUUGGGCGUAAAGCGCGUGUAGGCUGCUCAGAAAGUCGGAUGUGAAAGCCCUGGGCUUAACCUAGGAAGUGCAUUCGAAACUUCUGAGCUUGAGUUCUGGAGAGGAAGGCGGAAUUCUCGGUGUAGAGGUGAAAUUCGUAGAUAUCGAGAGGAACACCGGUGGCGAAGGCGGCCUUCUGGACAGUGACUGACGCUGAGACGCGAAAGCGUGGGGAGCAAACAGG
Molecule: ribosomal RNA, 253 nt
Filed under: uncultured bacterium
Lineage: Bacteria
Description: partial 16S ribosomal RNA
Rfam family: Bacterial small subunit ribosomal RNA
Source: RNAcentral